UAGAACCCAGGACCAAAAAGCAAUGUUUCAACCCCUUAGGGCCUUUGUCAAGCUACUAAACCACAUAUUCAAUUUACAAUAUAUAAGAGCAUAUAACAAUUAACAAGUGAAAAAACCUGUGAUGUGGUAUUAAAUUAAUCACAUGAUCAAUCAAUAUUAAUGAAAAACACAAACAAAUCAAAAUUGUCUCUCCAAUCAUUGUUUCACAUAUUGGGGAUGUCACAGACACUUAAAUAGGUAUAGCCAAUAAAGCAUCAAUUUACUAGUCAGUAAGUUUAA
Non-coding RNA from Pelobates cultripes (western spadefoot toad), 279 nucleotides. The record is from the annotation of a GenBank genome assembly. NCBI's taxonomy places the organism in Eukaryota, Metazoa, Chordata, Amphibia, Anura, Pelobatidae.